UUCCCCUCUCUCUCUCUCUCUCUCUCUCAAAUCCCUCAUUUGCCCAACUCACCUCUGAUGGACCCACCACCACCUCCUCAACCUCCACCGGCUCCAUCUCUCUCAGCUGCUGCAACCACCACCGCCACAGCCACCGCCGCCGCUGCGACCACCACCUUACCCUCUCACCUCACCCCCACCAACUCCACACCCGCCACCUACCCAGACUCCAUCGAUUCCUCUCCUCGCUCUCGCACCACUGAUUCUUACUUGGAUGACCCGCCUCCUCUGUCCUCCAAGCUCCGCCUUAUGUGCUCCUAUGGUGGCCAUAUCGUUCCUCGCCCGCAUGACAAGUCCUUGUGCUAUGUCGGCGGCGAUACUCGUAUUGUCGUUGUUGACCGCCACACGACUCUCUCUUCUCUCUCAACACGUCUUUCAAAUACUCUGCUUAAUGGCCGCCCUUUUACUCUCAAGUAUCAGCUUCCGAGCGAAGACUUGGAUUCUCUUAUUUCUGUCACUACUGAUGAGGAUUUAGAUAAUAUGAUCGAUGAGUAUGACCGUACUAAUAGUAACGCUGCUAAUGCUGCGAAACCCUCGCGACUGCGUUUGUUUCUGUUUCCGUUGAAGCCGGAUUCUUCACAGUCAAUUGGACCGAUUCUGGAAAGCAGUGCUAAAUCUGAAGACUGGUUCUUAAAUGCGUUGAAUGGAGCUACUGGUUUGUUGAAUAGAGGGUUUUCUGAUUCUGCUUCGGUCAAUUGCUUGUUGGGUCUGGAUGAUGAUGGUCUAAAUGGGAAUAAUAAUCUCGAUUUAGUUGGUGGUGGCGGUAGAGAUGUGGAGGGGUCGCAGAAAAAUGCCAAGCAAGGUCAAGAUGUCCAUUCCGUACCGGAUUCUCCGAUGUUGGAGACGUCGUCUUCUUUUGGGUCUACUUCUUCUUCACCUUCACUUGCGAAUUUGCCUCCCAUAAGAGUUCAUGUGGAGGAUGGUGGUGGGGUUAGAGGGGUUAUGCAGGAUCAGAAAGUGGUGGGUAUCGAGGAACAGUUUGCACAAAUUAAUGUUGGUGGUGGGGGUAGUGGUGUUGUUGGGCAAAAGCAAGAUGAGGGUUUUGUGGUUAUGUCAUCGCCGCCUCCGAUGCCAAUUUCUAUUGCUAUAUCGGGUGUGCCGGUGGGCCCUCCGGUAGUAGUUGGUGAUUACCAGAAUCGGGUUUUCUCUGAUGAUGAGAGAUCGGACCAUGGCGUUCCAGUUGGUUAUAGAAAGCCACGGCCACCUCAAACACAGCCG
Molecule: long non-coding RNA, 1257 nt
Filed under: Jatropha curcas
Lineage: Eukaryota; Viridiplantae; Streptophyta; Magnoliopsida; Malpighiales; Euphorbiaceae
Description: long non-coding RNA (JCUR_LNC001710)
Source: RNAcentral